CCUACGGGUGGCUGCAGUGGGGAAUAUUGGACAAUGGGCGAAAGCCUGAUCCAGCCAUGCCGCGUGUGUGAAGAAGGCCUUCGGGUUGUAAAGCACUUUCAGUGGGGAAGAAAGCCUUGGGGCUAAUACCCUCGAGGAAGGACAUCACCCACAGAAGAAGCACCGGCUAACUCCGUGCCAGCAGCCGCGGUAAUACGGAGGGUGCGAGCGUUAAUCGGAAUUACUGGGCGGAAAGCGCGCGUAGGCGGUCUGAUAAGCCGGUUGUGAAAGCCCCGGGCUCAACCUGGGAACGGCAUCCGGAACUGUCAGGCUAGAGUGCAGGAGAGGAAGGUAGAAUUCCCGGUGUAGCGGUGAAAUGCGUAGAGAUCGGGAGGAAUACCAGUGGCGAAGGCGGCCUUCUGGACUGACACUGACGCUGAGGUGCGAAAGCGUGGGUAGCAAACAGGAUUAGAUACCCCGGUAGUC
RNAcentral lists this ribosomal RNA (465 nucleotides) under Vreelandella stevensii. Its description in RNAcentral is "partial 16S ribosomal RNA". It matches the Rfam family "Bacterial small subunit ribosomal RNA", at positions 338 to 795 of the family's 1533-position model. Lineage: Bacteria; Pseudomonadati; Pseudomonadota; Gammaproteobacteria; Oceanospirillales; Halomonadaceae. The record is from RNAcentral.